AGCCUUGUGGUGUACAACAUGUUAGAUUGCAAAUCUAAAGAUGCAGAUUGACGUCUGCCGGGGCUU
This 66-nucleotide transfer RNA is filed under the name Pangio anguillaris. RNAcentral's name for it is "tRNA-Cys". It matches the Rfam family "tRNA". Rfam says of the family: Transfer RNA (tRNA) molecules are approximately 80 nucleotides in length. The record is from RNAcentral. Lineage: Eukaryota; Metazoa; Chordata; Actinopteri; Cypriniformes; Cobitidae.